This 587-nucleotide ribosomal RNA is filed under the name Geopora sp. 3 SE-2015. RNAcentral's name for it is "eukaryotic LSU rRNA". The stretch from base 218 to 371 matches the Rfam family "5.8S ribosomal RNA". Lineage: Eukaryota; Fungi; Ascomycota; Pezizomycetes; Pezizales; Pyronemataceae. The record is from RNAcentral.
GGAUCAUUAAUCGAACCAACAUGUUUCUCAGCAUGAUAUUUCAAACCCCACCUGUGUACCUUACCUGUUGCUUCCGUGCUGCGCAUGCUGCAAACGUGUGCCUUGCGGUCCGGAGUACCUAUUGCUCCUAUGGCCCGUGGGAGCCGGCACGGGAGGUAACCCACAAACUCUUGCCCUUGAAUGCCUUCCGUCUGAACUGUAGUACAUGAAAAGUUAAAACUUUCAACAACGGAUCUCUUGGUUCUCGCAUCGAUGAAGAACGCAGCGAAAUGCGAUAAGUAGUGUGAAUUGCAGAAUUCCGUGAAUCAUCGAAUCUUUGAACGCACAUUGCGCCUCCUGGUAAUCCGUGAGGCAUGCCUGUUCGAGCGUCACCAAAAUCAAAUCAACCACCACCCAUGUGCUUGGUCAUGGAGGAAGAGUACGUCUUGUUGCGGUCUCCCCUCCCAAAAUCAACGGCGGAAAGUCGCUGGCACUCGGCGUAGGAGUAUUAUUCGCCGAUUGCCCAGUGUCGUUCCUGCCACCAAAUGCCCACGAUUCUCUUGAUUGACCUCGGAUCAGGUAGGGAUACCCGCUGAACUUAAGCAUAU